RNAcentral lists this transfer RNA (72 nucleotides) under Puccinia triticina 1-1 BBBD Race 1. RNAcentral's name for it is "tRNA-Sup (CTA) (tRNA-Sup-CTA-3-1)". It matches the Rfam family "tRNA". Rfam says of the family: Transfer RNA (tRNA) molecules are approximately 80 nucleotides in length. Lineage: Eukaryota; Fungi; Basidiomycota; Pucciniomycetes; Pucciniales; Pucciniaceae. The record is from RNAcentral.
GCGUCUGUAGCCUAGUUGGUAAAGGCAGCACUCUAGAUGCUGAGGUUGUGAGUUUGACUCUCACCAGACACA